This is a long non-coding RNA of Cataglyphis hispanica, 3924 nucleotides long. RefSeq lists it as uncharacterized. The record is from RefSeq and is a predicted model, not a curated record. The transcript is spliced from 11 exons. Lineage: Eukaryota; Metazoa; Arthropoda; Insecta; Hymenoptera; Formicidae.
ACUUUCCUUUACGUGCAAAGCGCUUUCUCGCAUCCGAAGUGCGCGGACGGGAACCUUCCAGAAAAUCGGAGGCUGAUUCGGCGAAUUGGUGAUCGCUUUGCGCAUAUUGAGUGCGUGGGCGCCGAUAAUUGGGCGCUGAUAUCGAAAAACGCCAGUGCGUUUAUCGUUGUCGCGCAUGAUACUGCGCGUAUGCGCGGAUUACGCUAAUGGCGCGUUACGUCAAUGUACGAGUUAGAUAAAACUUACUUUACUUAACUUAACUUACUUAGGCGCAAUUCCGAUCAAGCCGCCCGCCUCGUGUAGUGAAACGGACGACAUAUCUCACCUUUGCGCGCAUUAGUUGCGAUGACUGCGCCGCGGUGUUCGCUGGUGUGUAUCUGUACAAGAAUUUUGCGCCACAGUUACAUAGUGCGUUUUGAUAUGUGUUGUGGAAUGUCAUGAAUGAGUUAGUGUGUGUGUAGUGAAUGGUAAUGAAUGAAGCGUGUAAUCGUGUUCUUGUUUAGUAUUAUAAAUUGUGAGUGUGCACGUGUGUUAUGUCGAUUUCAUCCUGCGUACGGAUCGGAAGCAGGACGAGCUUCGCAAUCGAUCGCUUGAAUUCCGACCGUGCAAACCACGCGGACGAGUCCGUUGGCGCAGGAAUGGACUGCGGUUAUCCUUGGCCAUUCCUUGGCGGUGUAGUCUCGUGUAGAAGCAGACACAAUUAUCCAGAUGUAAACGACGCUAGUUUUUGUCACUUUGGUCUGGCGAUUAAUUCUUGGAGAUAUUUUUUGUCUAGCGCGUCCAAAAGUGCUCCCUCAUCUGCUGCAGCAGUUUCCAGCGUGACAGACGUGCUUCAGGAAUAUCGUGCAGUAAAGGCUUCGGAAAUGCGGUGAUUGAUGCGCCGAUGAGUAAAUGAAGAGUGCCAAUAAGUCUUCAGUGUCAUCUGUUAGCGAACAUAGAAGUCUUGAGUUAAGGCAUGCCUCAACCUGUGACAGCAUUGUGUCUUCUUGUAGAUGAAUGUAGUGUCUCCUAUUACUCUCCGUAAGUGGUGUUUUGUGGUUUUAACCGCUUCCCACAGGCCGCCAAAGUGAAGAGCUGCAGGUGGAUUAAACCUCCACUACACUCUGCUAUUCUCUAUGUCCGCCAUGUUCUCAGGAUCAUCAAGUGUACAGUUUGAAUCCAGCAAAUUUAGCGCUUCUCGGUGUCUCCUGGAGUUCAUAGCGGUGAGAUGAUGACAGAGAUUCCUGUUUUGUCCUGUGACUCUUGCUGUCUCCGAAGUGCCACUUCCAGCUCCGUAGCCGUUGUCGCUGCUAUUGUCACCACCGAUUGCUUAACCUUGCAGUCCGUUGGCGUGUCUGCUGGUGGCUCAAGCGUCCCUGUUGUGGCAUUGCAAAGGAAGGCAAGUCUCACCACAACCAGUAAUCCUCAAGGUCCCUUGGAUAAAGAUUUUGCGAUGCAGAGUCAACUGAAUUGUUGUCGCCCGAGAGAUGAUUCCAGCGUGCAUCAGGUGUCAGCCGCUGGAUUUCGGCAACUCUGUUCGCCACGAAGUGUUCCACUUGGAUAGGUGAUCGUGAAUCCAUCCCAGUGUUACCAUGGAGUCUGUCCACAGAAAUGUCGGCGUUGUCUAGAGUUUGAGUACCGCGCAAAUCCGUGCGGAUGCGUCUCUGGCAAAUCAAUGCCAGAGUGUUAAUCUAUUGUUCCUUUGGUCAGCAUCCUUCGAAUCUUGAUUUGAGUGAACACAGGGCGUCAAUCAUCCAAGUCGUAAAGCUGCGCGGUCUGUGAUAAGAUGGUCCUUUUGAUAAUGGCGUCAUCUUCCAGUAGUUUGACAGUGAAUGCAAAGUUGUCUUCCACCGGAUUCUAGUGAAGUCCCAGGAUGGAGUGACUAAUAUCCUCUAGUUUCCACGACCGCGUGUCGCACUGCAUUCAAUCCCUCUCAGCACGUCCACAUAUACAUCGUUGAGGAUCACUGUUGAUCUCAUCAGAAAUCUGAAGGCUUUACCACGGGCCAGCUGUGGAGUGAUCGCACUGCAAGGAACAGAGCGCAUGCUAGUCCAUCCCUGUCAUCCUCGUGGAAGAGUAUCUAUCUGUACAUCUUCUCGAUGUCGGCAGCUACCACGAAUCGAUCCAUCGCCAGCGCAAGAGGAUGUCACCCAAGGCUAGCAGUAAAUUUUUCCCAUCAGGAGGUGCUCGUUGAGUGACGUGCCUGAAGGAAUGGUUCAUGAGUCAUGAAUACGACCCUCAAUCGUGUGGACAUGCUGGACUCCUCUAGUACCUCAUGGUGAGCUUACAGAAUUGCGCAUCUUUCUGAAACUUCCUCUCGCUGCGAAGGAGCGAUCAAAUUGCUGCCACUCGUGUCUCGGUGAAGUCUGGAAACAUUGGUCGCCAUCUGGAAGACGGACCACAUAGCGACCAUCCGCGGUUCUUGUGUGUAUUGCAAUCUGGAAUCCUUGCGCAUUCCGUCGCACAAGAUGCUGGUGUAAUCGACUCCCAGCAGCACAUCAUUGCAGUCCGGCGAAGCGAGGUCUGGAUCUGCGAGCUCGAGACAUUGGAUGUGCGAUUGGCACGUCCGAUGAGGCCAAAUAUCUUGUGAGGCGCGGCAGAAUAAGAGCUGACGUCUUCACGGUGAUCCUCCCAACUUGCGGCCACACUGAUGGAGACACGGCCUCUUGCAACGCCUGUUGCUGAUUUCUGACGCCAAACAUUGCAACAGAGGUAUGUUGACGUGGAAGUCUCAACCGUUAAACCAGUUUCUUCGUGAUAAUGAUAGCCUCUGAUCGUUGGUCGAUCAACGCUCUUGCAAGUUUCCGUAUCGGUCGGCGAUUCGGACACGUGCUGUUGUCAAGAGCACGAACAUGCAGCGUUAUGCUGUGCGCAACGUGUGACAUCCUCACAGCGUCUUCAUUCAUCGGAGCCUUCCGGAAUGCGUUAUGGAGUGAGCAGUUCGCGCAGAAGUGAUUGAUGCCCACGAACUGUCGGCGAUCUUAAGCAGACUUGCUCCUGAACUCGCUGCACAUCAUGAGUGCAUGGUCUCCUUUGCAGAGAAGGCACCGCGCGGAUCCGGGAUCUCGCUUCUGCUGCACAUGCUUACCUUGAGGUAAUGGAGUUUCUCUACCUCACUGAUACUGCUAUCCUUUCCAAUGAUGGAUUGGAAUAGAUCUCGGAAAGCGGGCCAGAUCUCGUACUUUCCUGAAAAUUGCGGUAGCUGUAUCCUGGAUAGCGUGGUUCGCGGAGACAACGAAUCGGUCCUUAUCGUAGCGGAUGUAGCAGUCACACUUGGCUGAGCCAGACACGCGAUGUAAUUCAGAAGCCCUUUUGCCUGAGGUAAGUUUCUUCCACAAUACCGACAUAAUCCUUCCUAAUGUAGUCCGUUUUUUGUCGCCUCCCUGUGGACCGUGCGGAGAGUCUCGUGCUGAGUCUCAAAUUUGGACCAACAACUAUUCAAAACUCGCUAAACGAGACUGAAUGGCGUCCACCCAUGGAGGAUAUUCUCGCGAAGAAUCGUGGAACCAGCGCACUAAGACACUCACUACACUCACAGUCGUCACGUGGAAGCAAUCCGACAGAUCCGGCUCGAAAGACCAAAAAUGUUCGAGAAUGAGGCGAGAACUAGGAUUCUCGAAAAAUCACAUGAGAUUUUAACAAGAAUACAAAUUUAAUUAAUAAUAAGAAAAUGUCUAUAAAAAUAAAUCAAAUGCACAAUACAAAAAUCGUAUCCGUCUAAAAUUAGCCGAAAUUCAAAUAUAUCUUAUUUUCAGAAAGGCAAAGCUGUGACGUGACUAUACCCGAGAUAAUAGAGCGACUGCGAUAAGUCUCUUUGUCUCCCGUGCCUUUUUAUCAGCUCCGACUUUUUAGAAAGUUCCUCCAUGUCGAUAAUUGUGCGCUGAUAUCGGAAGGUGCCAGUGCGUCUAUCACACGUUGUCGCGCAUGAUAUCGCUCGUGUGCGCG